Molecule: long non-coding RNA, 1059 nt
Filed under: Fragaria vesca (wild strawberry)
Lineage: Eukaryota; Viridiplantae; Streptophyta; Magnoliopsida; Rosales; Rosaceae
Description: long non-coding RNA (FVES_LNC001074)
Source: RNAcentral
AGAGUUAAACAUUCAUGCUUAAACUUAAUCAAUUUGGGUAUGUUUGCUUGCCAUAACAUGAGAAAUAAUUAGGGCUUAAUUAACCGUAGUUGUUUGAAGCAUGAUAACAUACCAUAUGUGCAUGUUAAAGUUGUGAGCUACAAUCACUUAGAGAUAAACUUGGUUGGUUUGUAUAAUUUCUUCAUCUCCAAACUUUAUGCAAUUAGGGUAAUGCAUUAGAUUCCUAAUCGGAUUGAAAUACAUGACUUAGGUAGUUAAGUGUUACACCUGAGAGGGGUUGCUUGAUAUCAACAAAAGAGAAUGUUAAGUUUGUGAGUGUUUGAGGAGUUUUUGAUUAGGUUUGGGAUUAAUCGGAGAUUGGUUAACUUGUUGGUUGUUAGACGAGAAAUCGGUUGUUGGGGUGACUUUGGAAUUAGCUUAAAUCUAUCAAAAUAUUAUGUUAGGAUUAUGUAAAGGUUUGACUCAAACACGUUUAGACUCCUCCUUUCAAAUACAACCAUAGAGCUCAAAAAAUCACUUCGACAUGGCACCACAAAUUAGCAUAGGGCAAGCCACCACAAAUUUUAGUAGCACAAUUUUCUCAAUACGCACUACAACUUCCUUAAUUAACACAAACAUCAAUUUCAAGUCUAAACAUGUCAAUCGAAGCAAAAAUAGAGAAACCCAAUUUGAAAACCCUAGAACUUCAACUCUUCGAUUCUCCUUACCAAGAAUGAAUUGGAUUAAACCCUUUUGAGGGUUUACUACCCUAGGUGAGUACUACAAGAUGAGACAAGAAUCCUCUUCAAUGGUGGCCGGAUGCAUGAGUUCCGGUGAGAGGUUAGCCAGGCUUGUAGAAGGGAUUUCUCUCACAUGUUUGAGUUGUAGGUUCGAUCACCAACACAGAAAGAUGAAGGAGGAGACGACAAAUCGAAUGAGACCAGUGCAGCGGUCUGAGCUGGUCGGACAGUGGAGAUCGGCGACAGUGAGUCGCUGGCAAAAGGAGAGGGAGAGGAAAUCGGGGAAGAGGGGANAGAGAGAGAGAGAGAGAGAGAGAGAGAGAGAGAGAGAGAGAGNNNN